Molecule: RNA transcript, 2116 nt
Organism: Olea europaea var. sylvestris
Lineage: Eukaryota; Viridiplantae; Streptophyta; Magnoliopsida; Lamiales; Oleaceae
Gene name: caffeoylshikimate esterase-like
Exons: 5
Source: RefSeq, a predicted model, not a curated record
GACACCCUUAGGUUGACCCCAAAUCAAAAAGUACCCAUUGGGCCAUCACUUUUCAACAGGAUUUUUGAUUCCCAAUGAAUUUGUUCUAAACUCAACUUUCCAGCCACUUUUAACCCCCCCGCCCCCCGCCCCCAGAAUUUGUACACUGUGGCCGAAAUCAUUAUAGUCCAUUUAUUUUCCGGCAAAAUCUGAACCCAAAACCCACACUUUCAAGACAAACAGUGACCGUUAUGGUCCAGAAGAAGCAAAAAAUUGAAGGUGUGAGUGACGAGUUGAACUCAAUUGUCUCACAGAACUUGGACCAUGCUCCUGCCCGUAGAAGAGUGCGAUCGGCUUUCACUAAUAUUCAGCAGCAGCUUGAUCAUAUUUUGUUUAAGAUGGCUCUAGCUGGGAUCAGAACAGAGGAGAUUAUCUUGAAACUUUUUGCUGUUAAUUUAAUUCAAUUUCUUGAUGUAUUUUGUUUGACAUAUCAAUUGAGCAUAAUAGUAUCAAGUUCAAGUUGGUAACUUUGUAUAAUUUUAUGAGGAAGAGGACUUUAACUUAAAAAGAGGAUAAAUAUUCUCCCAAAUUUAACUAUUGAGUGUAUAAAUUGUUUAGUGGUAUGAAAAAAUUUCAAAGGGACAAGAAAUUUUCUGCAAAAGUUGGUUGCCAAAGUCGGGUGUACGAAUCAGAGGGGCAUUGUGUUUUUGUCAUGGAUAUGGUGAUACUUACACUUUUUUCUUUGAAGGCAUAGCCAAGCACAUUGCUUCUUUGGGUUAUGGUGUCUAUGCAAUGGAUCAUCCAAGUUUUGGUCUAUUAGAAGGAUUGCAUGGCUACGUUUCAUCGUUUGAUGGCGUAGUUGAUAAUGUCAUCGCACAAGAUACGAUAAUUAAAGGAAGCUGGAGAUACGAGGUCUCCCUUUAUUCAUUUUUGGACAGUCGAUGGGGGGAGCAAUUGCUCUUAAGGCGAUUCUUAAGGAACCACGUCAAUGGGAUGGCAUAGUCCUUGUAGCCCCAAUAUGUAAAAUUGCAGAGGACAUGACACCACCUGUUUCGCUUCAGAAGGUCUUAAUUUUCUUGUCUAAGAUUAUCCCACAAGCGAAGCUCGUACCCCAGAAAGAUUUGGCAGAUCUGGCAUUCAGAGAAUUGAAGAAAAAAUAAAUGGUUUGUUGUUUAUCUUUUAUAAAAAGUAAUAUAUAUCUUACAGAACAUACAUAAGUCCUAAGGAAUAAGAUGAGAUCAUCGGGAUACUCCACCUCCUUUGCUGUGGAUUCGCUAUUAAUAUCCCUGUGCUUCUCUUGCCUUCCUCUAUGUAACCUAAUAUGUUGACCUAACACCUGAAUUCAUACACUAGGAGAGUAUAAGAGAAAAUACAUAGACUGUCCCACAUCGAAAGAUAAGAGGCUUUCAAGGUAGUUGUGGUCUUGGGGCUAUUCGCUAUUGUGCCCUUCUUGAACUUGAAGUUUUUGGAAUGGAUGUUUUGUGAGCAUCUCGGGAGCCUCUUCGUUUUAGAAGUGGGACAUUCUUUUUGUGUGUUUUAUAAGAUAGCCCAUGUUUAAGCCACAUUAUCUAAAAAUUCAUUUUUUAUUUAUUUAUUAUUUUUUUCAAAUCUCAUUUUCAACUAGACAUUCUCUCCAUAAAUUAUUUUUACACAUAAGCGCAAAACUUUUUAACCACACAUUUUUCAAAAAAUCACUAUUACAAAAUCUACUUCCCCCAAAAAACGGGGCUCAAACAGAGCCUUAGUCCCUAAGAUUGCCCAAAAGGAGAAGUGUUUCUUAAUAUGGGAUAAAGUUUAAGCAAUAUGGCUCAGAAAAUAAAUAAUAUAAAUCUUACGGUAGGCAGAGUAUGCAUGUAAUUGAUAGGCUUUAUUUGUUACCAUAUAACUAUGUGUUCAAUCUUCUAAAGUGGUUGUUGCCUUACCAGUAAUUUCUAGUGAUUUUAUCAAAAACACGUGCCUCUGAAUCGCUUUGUUCAUAUAUGCACAUGUAUACACUCUUAUUUCAGAAAAUUAAUUCUUAGCAUGCAGAGCAGAUUUUCUAACUUUUUUUUGUUUUUGAAAUUACAUUUCAUGUCAUGAUACAGGGUUCAUUUUAUUACUUGUUAUGUAAUGUUAUAUGCGUAAGAAAUUUAUGUUG